GAGGCGUGGCUUCCGGAGCUAACGCGUUAAGUCGACCGCCUGGGGAGUACGGCCGCAAGGUUAAAACUCAAAUGAAUUGACGGGGGCCCGCACAAGCGGUGGAGCAUGUGGUUUAAUUCGAUGCAACGCGAAGAACCUUACCUGGUCUUGACAUCCACGGAAGUUUUCAGAGAUGAGAAUGUGCCUUCGGGAACCGUGAGACAGGUGCUGCAUGGCUGUCGUCAGCUCGUGUUGUGAAAUGUUGGGUUAAGUCCCGCAACGAGCGCAACCCUUAUCCUUUGUUGCCAGCGGUCCGGUCGGGAACUCAAAGGAGACUGCCAGUGAUAAACUGGAGGAAGGUGGGGAUGACGUCAAGUCAUCAUGGCCCUUACGACCAGGGCUACACACGUGCUACAAUGGCGCAUACAAAGAGAAGCGACCUCGCGAGAGCAAGCGGACCUCAUAAAGUGCGUCGUAGUCCGGAUUGGAGUCUGCAACUCGACUCCAUGAAGUCGGAAUCGCUAGUAAUCGUGGAUCAGAAUGCCACGGUGAAUACGUUCCCGGGCCUUGCACA
RNAcentral lists this ribosomal RNA (553 nucleotides) under uncultured bacterium. Its description in RNAcentral is "bacterial SSU rRNA". It matches the Rfam family "Bacterial small subunit ribosomal RNA", at positions 834 to 1387 of the family's 1533-position model. The record is from RNAcentral.